CUAGUACCCCCUCUGUUCGGAAAUACUUGUCCGAGGAAUGGAUGUAUCUAAAUGUAUUUUAGUUCUAAAUACAUCCAUUUGUAUCCAUUUCCACGACAAGUAUUUCCGGACGGAGGGAGUAGCUA
Molecule: non-coding RNA, 125 nt
Organism: Triticum aestivum (bread wheat)
Lineage: Eukaryota; Viridiplantae; Streptophyta; Magnoliopsida; Poales; Poaceae
Source: Rfam